This 948-nucleotide long non-coding RNA is filed under the name Mustela putorius furo (domestic ferret). Its description in RNAcentral is "lncRNA (ENSMPUG00000028689.1)". Lineage: Eukaryota; Metazoa; Chordata; Mammalia; Carnivora; Mustelidae. The record is from RNAcentral.
AAUUACAGAAAACUUCCCCACAAGUCUCAGGGAAUGCUGGUAGCUGGCUGGGCAUGUGGGGGUGCGGUGAUGAGUCAGCCCACAUCCCACCCAUCGGACGUCUUUGGGGCUCCCACCUGCUACGACACACUGGCUGGCUCCUCCCUCAGGAGCCAAGCAGCCCUGAGGGUAGGACCACUUCCCGGAAAGGCUCAGCAAGUGUGCUCUGCAUUCAGAAGCAGUGAAUUCUCAGGAUGGACGGGCCCCAUUUUACCAAGGGAAACACAGAAACUCAGAGACGGGGAGAGCCUUCCCCACGGUCACACAGCUGCCGGGAACCAGGAACGGGUCUCCAGACUCCCAGGUUCAGUGCUCAUUCACGCUGCCUACGCUCCCAGCCUCUCGCAGAAAAAGGCAGAAAGCAGAUUUCCCCACAGAUCCCGCCUGCCACACAGCUUUGAAAGUAAUUUCCAAGAAUCUCUGCAGAUCUCCAGCCCAGGCUCCAGGCCAAAUCUCCAAAUGAAAUCAGGCCGGGGAGAAAUGAACAACCGAGAUGCACAAAACAAUGUGAAGAAGAAACGAAUAAUAAUAUAAAAAAAAGGCCAGGAAGUGACAGGAUCACCUCUGCUCACAUCCCACGGGCUGGAACACGUCACCUGGCUACCUGCACGACAGGGAGGCUGGCAGCGUCGUGCAGCUGAAGAUCCAGGAAGAAAAGGAGAACGCAGAUGAGCCCUGCCCGUCUCCACAGUGCCCUGGUUCACACGGCCGACAACAGCGAAAUCCGUCCUUUGACCCGGGUUCUGACAGCAGUAAGUACUGUGCUUUGCCCUGCCAACCCUUUACUUUGAAGUGUUAAGCUUUUCCAACUGAGCAGUGUUCCCGUCUUUUUCGAGAUCUGAAAGUCCUUACGUUUAUAAGAAUAUCAUGAUAAUGGCCAUAAUAUCUCCCUAUCUGGUCUAUCUGCAC